AAAACCAAGAAACCAACAAAAACCAUAACUUGUUCUUACCCAAAUAUGAGCCCAAUGGUUCACGGCGAGGCAGAUCUGGACGACGAUUUGCUUUGCGAGGGAGGCACGACGGUUGUGAGCGGAGAGGCACGACGGUUACAGGCGGAUGGGCGCGACGGUUUAGAUCUGAAGAAGAAAAGAGAGGGUGGCGGUUGGGUUCGGCGAGCGGCGGCGGUUUUGCUUCGCGAACGGAGAUGGAGACGGCAAUUCGGCGCGCGGGACGACUGCAACGCAAAUCUGGACUGGCAGCGGCACGGUCUUGCUUCGCGGCUGGGUAUGGUGAAAAAGAAAGAGAAACGGAAGAAGAGAAGUCUCGGGUGGCGGUUGCUGGGCUACGGCGGUUGCUGGGCUGCGGCGGAAGGAGAAAAUGGAAGGAAGAGAUCGGCGG
Molecule: long non-coding RNA, 427 nt
Filed under: Cucumis sativus (cucumber)
Lineage: Eukaryota; Viridiplantae; Streptophyta; Magnoliopsida; Cucurbitales; Cucurbitaceae
Description: long non-coding RNA (CSAT_LNC003110)
Source: RNAcentral